AGCAGGGUGGGUUGUUGUGAUAAAUACAGGCAGCAGAGGACUCGUUUCAGGUUUCUAUGGAUGGACAAGGGAAAAGGUGAUUACAUUAGGAGGGAGCAUCAGAAGAAAGACAGAAUACCAGCAAAGACAUACCGAUCAUGGCACAUUCUCAUCAUGUCUUUCAAGGGUUCAGGUCUCGGCUUCGGCUGGGCAACUCACAGACAUUCAGACUUGAAGCCACUGCAGAGCUGUCUUGGCUGUAUGCUGUCACCACCAUGCUUCACCAUAGGAAUGGUAUUAGUGAGCUGAUGAGCAGAAACUGGAGCUCAGUUUUGGAGUGCAUUCAGCCGAGGGUCUGAAGACUUACAGUGGUGCUUGAAAGUUUGUGAACCCUUGAGAAUUUUCUAUAUUUCUACAUGAAUGUGACCAAAAACAUUACAUUUCCACACAAGUCCUAAAAGUAGAUGUAGGACUCCCUAUGUGUGGGUGGAGCACAGAGGACGGAAGGACAGAGACCAGAUUCCAAAAUAGCGUUUUAUUGCUAGACUUUUCAGCUAAACAAUAAUUCAUUCAAACAGCCAGACAGACACACACAACCGGCGUCUGGUUCAGGGCAGAGCUCCCUCCGCUCUCACUCUCCCUCCUCAUAUAGGGCGCGGUCACUGGGAAGACACACAAACACAGGUUAAUUGCUCUCAGGUGAAGUGAUUCUGCCACUUACCUUCCCUGACUCCACCCUCCUGUCACAGACCGGCGCUUGACCACGCCCCCGCUGCCACAGUAGACAAAGAGAACCCAAUUAAAGAAAUGAGACAAAAAUAUUAUCCUUGGCUAUUUAUUUAUUGAUAAAACAUGAUCUAAUAUUACAGAUCAGUGAGUGGCAAAAGAAUGUCAACCUCUAGAAUUAGCAGUUAAUUUGAAGGUGAAAUUCGAGUCAGGUAUUUUCAAUCAAUGGGUUGGCAAUCAAUCUCCACCAGUCCACAAUCAGACAGAUGGAGGAAAUUCAGGAUCACUGUUUCCCUCCUCAGGAGUGGACCAGCAAAGAUCACUCCAAGAGCAAGGCAUGUAAGAGUCUGCGAGGUCAUAAAGGGACCCAGGAUAACUCCGAAACAGUCAUUUUACAAAAGAAUGGUUGAAGAAUCAAGCUUAUGUUUUGGAAUGAACAAGUUAAAGUCCUGACCUUAAUCCAGUAGAAAUGUUGUGUGAGCAGGUCAUGUGAGGAAACACAGCAACAUCUCAGAGCUCAAGCUGUUCCGUACAGAGGAACAGGAUAAAACUCCUCCAAGCCGAUGUUCAGGAUCUGAUUAACAGUUACAGCAGAUAUUCAGCUGCAGUUAUUUCUGCACAAGGAGCUCACACGAGACACUGAAAACAAGGGUUCAUAGUCUUUUACCACUCACUGAGAUGUAAUAUUGGAUAAUUUUCAAUAAAUAAAUGACCAACUAUGUUUAAGUUCAUUCCAUUAUCUGUAGCCACUUAUCCUGUGCAGGGUUGCAGGCGGGCUGGAGCCUAUCCCAGCUGACUACGGGCGAAAGGCGGGGUACACCCUGGACAAGUCACCCGGUCAUCACAGGGCUGACACAUAGACACAGACAACCAUUCACACUCACAUUCACACCUACGCUCAAUUUAGAGUCACCAGUUAACCUAACCUGCAUGUCUUUGGACUGUGGGGGAAACCGGAGCACCCGGAGGAAACCCACGCUGACACGGGGAGAACAUGCAAACUCCGCACAGAAAGGCCCUCGCCGGCCACUGGGCUCGAACCCAGAACCUUCUUGCUGUGAGGCAACAGUGCUAACCACUACACCACCGUGCCGCCCUAUGUUUAAGUCUCAUUCAUUUAAUUGGUUUCUCUUUAUUUACUUUUAGGACUUGUAUGAAAAUCUGAUGUUGUUACAAAAAUUUAAAAAGUUUCACAAACUUUCAAGCAUCGCUGCGUCUAAAUGAGAGAUUUCAGUGUUUUCACGUUUUUGUUUUGAUGCUUGUUUGACUAUUGUGUGUAGAUCAAUGGCAAAAUAUAAUCCAUAAAUGUCAUGUGUAAAUGUAAUCCACUCACAGCAAAUUCGAUGUUCCUUGUGAGAUCAAGAUAAUCAUGAAGAUGGCAUACUCUAUUGAUAAAAAUUAUGUUGUGCUAUGAACAAUGUUUUGCUAAAAUGACUGGACAGAUAAACAACAGCAUGAAAGGAGAACAUGAUGUUUUCGGGAAAGUGACAUGCAGUGGAGACAUGCAUCUUUCAUUCAUGAUGUUUAUAUGUAUUUUGCAUCCAUUUUGCCAGUUAAUUCAUUCAAAUUUAGAUUCCCAGUGAACUAUUUAAAUGCAUCUUAAAAAUGUUCAUGAAAUUAAUGUGCAGAAUUGAAAUACAUUGGCUAUUUAAACCUGAAAUUAUGCAAUUUGAAGUUCCAUCAGAUCAGAUGAUGUUUACAUUAGUUACGUUCGUAAAUUUAUGCUUUCUAAAACAAGGAGGAUACGAAUGCUUUCCCUGACUUACGUCAUGUUCACAAACGAGUCAUUCCAUGUUAAUUCACAUCGCUGUUGCUGAAUGUCUCAGAUUUUGUACAUUCUUUUUGUGAUUUGUUGCUUGUGACCGAUUACUGGAAUCUGCAUUUUGGAAAAUAUCACAUUUUUUUCACUCCUAGAAAAAAAGAUUGCAUUUUAUAAUUAAAAAAAGUCUGAUCUGGGAUAUCCAGAGUCAAGACUUCGACUUAGCCUGGACAGCGGACAGCAUGUUUUAUUUACUGAUGUUUUUUGUAACUUUUGACCAGAAUUCAGUGACAUUUGGCGGGUUUUUCCCACAAUAACAAACUAAUUUAAAAAAAAAUAAAAAUCCUUGCAGGGCGGCACGGUGGUGUAGUGCUGUCGCCUCACAGCGAGAAGGUUCGGGUUCGAGCCCCAUGGCCUAGACCCCGAAGCCGCCGCCAGGCGCCGCUAAAACCGCCAUUUAGAAUUUGAGCCGCCGCCAGCCAAUAAUUUUGUAAGCCAAUUUGAGCCGCUAUCUAAUAAAAUUUGGCUGAGCCACUAAGAAUUGUGUACAUCAAAUAAUGGGUUUAUCCACAUCAUGAGCUACAAGAAAAGUGACACAAACAUGAUCAACUGUACACACUAGUAGUAACACAAUAGAGACGUAUAGGCAUACACUGUAGAGAUUUAGAACUGAUAUCACAGCACAGAGAGCCACCACAAGCUUGCCGUUGUGACUACCUGUCUGGCUUCCCGCUCCUCACACCGUUACCACGAUACACUGGGGAACCCGGGGACCCACCCAGAGCAUCAAUCGACUCCGAUAUCGAUGAGAUGGCUGCAAUCUUUGCCACUGCUGAGGGAAAGUGUAAAGGUAUUUUUUUUUUGUUUGUUUGUUUGUUUCACAUACUUCAAGAUUGAUAAAAAAAAAAGUACUCCACCACUCUACUUUCAUCAUAGUAAGAUAGCUGCCAGUCAGUCCUUCACUGGUCAUUGCUAGUGAGAGUAGAUAGCUAGAUGCCUUCCUCAAACAAUCCAGAUUAGCUUAUUAUUAGCAUUGAACUACAAUCUUGCUAGAUUUAUAUUUACAAUGAAGUAAGAGACCAGGGGACCUGUGGUAAUUUGCUAUUUAUUCCCCCCAUUUGUUUGAUCCGUUCGCCCGGAUAUAUGCCACACAGUGACGUCCAGUAUCAGCCAUUUGUAGCCAUAAACAUUUUGGUGGCUGCAGCAGCCAUUAAGGUUUUGGCUGAGUCAGCUAGCCAGCCAAUA
RNA transcript from Neoarius graeffei (lesser salmon catfish), 3709 nucleotides. RefSeq lists it as uncharacterized. Lineage: Eukaryota; Metazoa; Chordata; Actinopteri; Siluriformes; Ariidae. The record is from RefSeq and is a predicted model, not a curated record. The transcript is spliced from 3 exons.